AGAAAGGAAGGAAAGAAAGAACAAAGAGAGAAAGAAACUGAGCCACAGAGAGAUGAAAGCAAUUUUUCCAGGUCAAACAUUGGUAGACCUGAGACCAAGGAUCUGAAUAUGAAGCAUGUGAAAGAAAGAAGAUGACACAGAGGUGCUGUGCUUUAUGUAAUACAUAAUGCAAUCCUGGGCAGCCUUGUGUGCUUCAGGCUGGAUGUAGGCUCUUUGGGAGCAUGUCAUCAACUUCUGACACAGCAAUGUGCUUACGGGGAGAAUUUACUCUAAAUUCUUCAUGGACUGUGCGACAGUCAACUCGCGUGGUGAUGAUGGAAAAUAUC
This is a long non-coding RNA of Diceros bicornis minor, 326 nucleotides long. RefSeq lists it as uncharacterized. Lineage: Eukaryota; Metazoa; Chordata; Mammalia; Perissodactyla; Rhinocerotidae. The record is from RefSeq and is a predicted model, not a curated record. The transcript has 3 exons.